This 503-nucleotide ribosomal RNA is filed under the name uncultured bacterium. Its description in RNAcentral is "partial 16S ribosomal RNA". It matches the Rfam family "Bacterial small subunit ribosomal RNA", at positions 30 to 523 of the family's 1533-position model. The record is from RNAcentral.
AUUGAACGCUGGCGGCAGGCUUAACACAUGCAAGUCGAGCGGGGUGAUGGUGCUUGCACUAUCACUUAGCGGCGGACGGGUGAGUAAUGCUUAGGAAUCUGCCUAUUAGUGGGGGACAACAUCUCGAAAGGGAUGCUAAUACCGCAUACGUCCUACGGGAGAAAGCAGGGGAUCACUUGUGACCUUGCGCUAAUAGAUGAGCCUAAGUCGGAUUAGCUAGUUGGUGGGGUAAAGGCCUACCAAGGCGACGAUCUGUAGCGGGUCUGAGAGGAUGAUCGGCCACACUGGGACUGAGACACGGCCCAGACUCCUACGGGAGGCAGCAGUGGGGAAUGUUGGACAAUGGGGGGAACCCUGAUCCAGCCAUGCCGCGUGUGUGAAGAAGGCCUUAUGGUUGUAAAGCACUUUAAGCGAGGAGGAGGCUCUUUUGGUUAAUACCCAAGAUGAGUGGACGUUACUCGCAGAAUAAGCACCGGCUAACUCUGUGCCAGCAGCCGCGGUAA